GCUGGGCGUGGUGGCACACACCUGUAAUCCCAGUGGCUUGGGAGGCUGAGACAGGAGGACUGAGUUCAAAACCAGCCUCAGAAACCGCAAGGCACUAAGCAACUCAGUGAGACCCUAUCUCUA
This 123-nucleotide small RNA is filed under the name Marmota monax (woodchuck). The record is from RNAcentral. Lineage: Eukaryota; Metazoa; Chordata; Mammalia; Rodentia; Sciuridae.